RNAcentral lists this long non-coding RNA (2680 nucleotides) under Lathyrus oleraceus (garden pea). Its description in RNAcentral is "Pisum sativum (pea) long non-coding RNA (PSAT_LNC041245)". Lineage: Eukaryota; Viridiplantae; Streptophyta; Magnoliopsida; Fabales; Fabaceae. The record is from RNAcentral.
UUGUUAAUUAAUGAUGGGAAAUCAAGUGCAACUGGCUUUCCCUCAGUAACACUAAGAGCAAAUGGUGAUUUCGUGCUACCUGAAAAAGUUGAUAAAUUUGGAAGACAAGGCUCGAGAGUCUUGGCUGAUAAUAUUUAUUACAACACAAAAGAAAUCAUAGGAGGUCAUGGUCGAAGCCACCAUCAUUCAUUGCAACCUGGUAAUGUUGGUCGUAUUUUAUCAGAAAUCCCAUCAGGUCCAGAUCCCAUUCAUAACCCCGAUUCCCCUAGUGCACGUGUUUAUGGUUGAUGUGUGGAUGGAAUAGAUGUAUUCAAUAUUUAUAAAAUAAAUUGUGAGAUUCUGUAUACACUUGAUGUACUAGUUCAAUGUUAAUAAUUAAAUGUUAUAAACUCAAGUUAUAGAGUUCAUGAGUUAUCUCUAUUUAUAUUUCUCAACUAUUAGCCUUUUUAUUUCUCGUUGCAUCGGUUUGGAAUAUCUAUAAUAAUAUCUAUAUUUUGCAAGUACAAAAAUACUUUACAAAGUUAUAGUUCUUUUUCAAAAAUGUAUUGAUAAGUACAUAGAUUAUCAAAGGGGUUCAUUCAAUCAAUUCCAAAUCCAACCAUUAUGUAAAUUGGAGCAUGGAAAAAAUAUAGAUACAAUUAUUGAAUUUUCUUCCACCUUAAAGAAUAUCCAACCUGGCGAUGUUUUCUAUCACACUUUCUUAAUAUCACAAAACAUUCUCUAGGGCCUUGGAAUUAAUAUUGACAGGAACAUGACACUUUGGCUAAAGGGUGCUUCUUGCUUACAUCGUCAUCUUCAUCACCACUGAUGUCAUUAUCCUUGUAGCACGACUCCCCACAUUUUGGGCAUUGGUUAAGUUUUUGAUAAUAUUUCCUCUCUAAUUGCAAUAAUUACAACAUGCAUAUUUUUUGACAUAAUCCAAACAAGUGGACACAAUAGAUUCUUGGCUUCAAAACUGUGGUUUGGACAAAUUUCUACCUUCUAGAAGCAUCUCUUUCAGCAAUUCAAGAAAUUAUAUUUUAAAUUUUUAUCUGUCCAUCAUCUUUUUUUCCUUCAAAUCAAAAAUAUUAAAAAAUAGUCGAUAUACAUGUAAAAUUUGUGAACCUCUUAAAUAAAAACUAAUCCUUCUCACUAAAUAAAGUAUCACACAUAUGGGCUUUCCGAAAAGAAGAUUCUCCAAUUUCACUGGUCAUAUCUUAUAGUCUAUCAUCCAUAUCUACAUUAACUUUGUAUCUAUGUGACUUCAUAGUUUGGAAUUCAUCUACUUCAGCCUGUCACAUCCAUGUUGUAUAAUUUAGAAUAAAUUUUUCACAACCUAGGUGAUUGAAAAUUACUUUCUUUUAAAAAGAAUACAUUCCAACAUAUAACAUAAGGACCAUAAAAGAUUCCAUUGUUGUUGGAAGUGUUUUUUUCCGUGAAUUCAAGAAAUUCAAGUAUUGCUUCCACAUACUUAUAAGAUAAAUAUGAAAUCUACAUUUUGUAGUAUUUGGUGGAAUCUCCCUCAACGGGUACUUAUAAUGUCUUCAACACUCUUUAGAUAGAGAGAAUAAGAUAAUACGCUUGUAGCACUAUAUACUAGGGACCAUAACUUACAUAUAUAGUGAUGAUCAGUUAGGAUUCACGUUAUUCAAAAAUGGACAAUAUUGAUAUACUCAUAUUUGAGUCCAUAUCAAACUAAAUAAUUAAUUAAUUAAUUUUCAAAAUAUAAUCUUAAUUAUUUUUUUGUCUUUAUUUGAUCACUUAAUCAUAAUAAUUAAUUUAAAAGUAUGACCACAUAAUAAUUAGUAGAAUGAAAGAAUUAAAUAAUAUUUAAAUAUAGUAUAUUCCAACACAUUUUACACGGAGGUCUAAUAGAAAUUCGGUUCAAUAGUAUACCUUACUAAUUUUCAUAAAAUUUAUCAUUUUGGAUGGUAUAAUUAUUGUCAAGAAACAAUAAUUAUUUAAUGAUUUUAUUAAAACAAAAAAUAUGAAAUAUAUGUUUAUUUUCUAUCUUUAUUUUUAUAAAAUUCAUUUUUUUUGACUAAAAUGAAUAAAUGUUCAUAUGGAGACAACUUUUUAAAAGGUUGUGUUAGGUGAAACAAUAUUCUACUAGUUACUAGUAUAUGUAUAUAUACAUCCACUGUAUGUCUAACUUAAAUUAUAUUUCAAAGUUAGCACCAUAUUCGAAUAACAUGCUACAAAUGAUAAUGGUGCAAAAAAUUCUUUCCUACCUUCUCUUGAUCAAUGUUGCUCAUUGGUAUUGUUAAUUAAUGAUGGGAAAUCAAGUGCAACUGGCUUUCCCUCAGUAACACUAAGAGCAAAUGGUGAUUUCGUGCUACCUGAAAAAGUUGAUAAAUUUGGAAGACAAGGCUCGAGAGUCUUGGCUGAUAAUAUUUAUUACAACACAAAAGAAAUCAUAGGAGGUCAUGGUCGAAGCCACCAUCAUUCAUUGCAACCUGGUAAUGUUGGUCGUAUUUUAUCAGAAAUCCCAUCAGGCCCAGAUCCCAUUCAUAGCCCCGAUUCCCCUAGUGCACGUGUUUAUGGUUGAUAUGUGGAUGGAAUAGAUGUAUUCAAUAUUUUAAAAAUAAAUUGUGAGAUUCUGUAUACACUUGAUGUCCUAGUUCAAUGUUAAUAAUUAAAUGUUAUCAACUCAAGUUAUAGAGUUCAUGAGUUAUCUCUAUUUAUAUUUUUCAACUAUUAG